RNAcentral lists this ribosomal RNA (209 nucleotides) under Cordyceps sp. RNAcentral describes it as "partial large subunit ribosomal RNA". Lineage: Eukaryota; Fungi; Ascomycota; Sordariomycetes; Hypocreales; Cordycipitaceae. The record is from RNAcentral.
AAGCGCUCAUGACCAGACUUGGGCCCGGUGAAUCAUCCAGCGUUCUCGCUGGUGCACUUUGCCGGGCUCAGGCCAGCAUCAGUUUGCUUCGGGGGAUAAAGGCUUCGGGAAUGUGGCUCUCUCCGGGGAGUGUUAUAGCCCGCUGCGUAAUACCCUGUGGCGGACUGAGGUUCGCGCAUUCGCAAGGAUGCUGGCGUAAUGGUCAUCAG